Molecule: ribosomal RNA, 603 nt
Filed under: uncultured organism
Description: bacterial SSU rRNA
Rfam family: Bacterial small subunit ribosomal RNA
Source: RNAcentral
AUUAGGUGCUCAGUAAAGCUCCGGCGGUUUUGGAUGAGCCCACGUCCUAUCAGGUUGUUGGUAAGGUAAUUGCUUACCAAGCCUAUGACGGGUAGCUGGUCUUAGCGGAUGACCAGCCAGACUGGGACUGUGACACGGCCCAGACUCCUACGGGAGGCAGCAACUAGGAAUCAUGCGCAAUGGACGAAAGUCUGACGCUGCGACGUCGCGUGGAGGAUUGACGGUCUUCGGAUUGUAAACUCCUUUUAUAUGGGAACAAGUUCUGAGUGUACCAUAUGAAUAAGUGCCUGCUAACCACGUGCCAGAAGCAUCGGUAAUACGUGGGGCACAAGCGUUAUCCGGGUUUACUGGGCGUAAAGAGAUGCGUAGGCGUCCCGAAAAGUUUUGUGUUAAAUCUCCCCGCUCAACGGGGAAACCGCAUGAAAAACUUUCGGGAUUGAGUCAGGUAGAGAAAGGGGGAAUUCCUGGUGGAGCGGUUAAAUGCGUUGAUAUCAGGAGGAACACCAAUGGCGAAGGCACCCUUUUGGACCUAGACUGACGCUAAGGCUCGAAAGCGUGGGUAGCAAAACGGAUUAGAUACCCGUGUAGUCCACGCCGUAAACG